Molecule: ribosomal RNA, 492 nt
Filed under: uncultured bacterium
Lineage: Bacteria
Description: partial 16S ribosomal RNA
Rfam family: Bacterial small subunit ribosomal RNA
Source: RNAcentral
AGCGAACGCUGGCGGUAGGCCUAACACAUGCAAGUCGAACGGCAGCACCGUAAGAGCUUGCUCUUACGGGUGGCGAGUGGCGGACGGGUGAGGAAAAUAUCGGAAUCUACUUUUUCGUGGGGGAUAACGUAGGGAAACUUACGCUCAUACCGCAUACGACCUACGGGUGAAAGCAGGGGAUCUUCGGACCUUGUGCGAUUGAACGAGCCGAUGUCGGAUUAGCUAGUUGGCGGGGUAAAGGCCCACCAAGGCGCCGAUCCGUAGCUGGUCUGAGAGGAUGAUCAGCCACACUGGAACUGAGACACGGUCCAGACUCCUACGAGAGGCAGCAGUGGGGAAUAUUGGACAAUGGUCGCAAGCCUGAUCCAGCCAUACCGCGUGGGUGAAGAAGGCCUUCGGGUUGUAAAGCCCUUUUGUUGGGAGAGAAAAGCAGCAGGUUAAUACCCCGCUGUUCUGACGGUACCCAAAGAAUAAGCACCGGCUAACUUCGUG